Molecule: ribosomal RNA, 659 nt
Filed under: Staphylococcus aureus
Lineage: Bacteria; Bacillati; Bacillota; Bacilli; Caryophanales; Staphylococcaceae
Description: bacterial SSU rRNA
Rfam family: Bacterial small subunit ribosomal RNA
Source: RNAcentral
AAAAGUGAAAGACGGUCUUGCUGUCACUUAUAGAUGGAUCCGCGCUGCAUUAGCUAGUUGGUAAGGUAACGGCUUACCAAGGCAACGAUGCAUAGCCGACCUGAGAGGGUGAUCGGCCACACUGGAACUGAGACACGGUCCAGACUCCUACGGGAGGCAGCAGUAGGGAAUCUUCCGCAAUGGGCGAAAGCCUGACGGAGCAACGCCGCGUGAGUGAUGAAGGUCUUCGGAUCGUAAAACUCUGUUAUUAGGGAAGAACAUAUGUGUAAGUAACUGUGCACAUCUUGACGGUACCUAAUCAGAAAGCCACGGCUAACUACGUGCCAGCAGCCGCGGUAAUACGUAGGUGGCAAGCGUUAUCCGGAAUUAUUGGGCGUAAAGCGCGCGUAGGCGGUUUUUUAAGUCUGAUGUGAAAGCCCACGGCUCAACCGUGGAGGGUCAUUGGAAACUGGAAAACUUGAGUGCAGAAGAGGAAAGUGGAAUUCCAUGUGUAGCGGUGAAAUGCGCAGAGAUAUGGAGGAACACCAGUGGCGAAGGCGACUUUCUGGUCUGUAACUGACGCUGAUGUGCGAAAGCGUGGGGAUCAAACAGGAUUAGAUACCCUGGUAGUCCACGCCGUAAACGAUGAGUGCUAAGUGUUAGGGGGUUUCCGCCCCUUA